GGUUUUUAUAUUUUAUUAAAAAUUUAACCUGCCAAUUGAAUUAAAUUUAAAAGGCCGCAGUAUUUUGACUGUGCUAAGGUAGCAUAAUCAUUAGAUUUAUAAUUGAAAUCUAGAAUGAAUGGUUUAAUGAAACAAAAUCUUUUUUAAUUUAAAUAAUUGAAUUUUUUUUUUUAGUUAAAAAACUAAAAUAUUUUUAUGGGACGAGAAGACCCUAUAGAAUUUUAUAUUUAUUAAAUUAAAUAAUAAUUUAUAAAUUAAUUAUAAUAUUUUACAAUAUUUUAUUGGGGUGAUAAAUAAAUUUAGUUAACUUUAAUUUUUUUAUCAAUAAUUUUUGUUAAAUUGAUCUUUUUUUAUUGAUUAAAAAUUUAAAUUACCUUAGGGAUAACAGCAUAAUUUUAUUAAGAAGUUCUUAUUUUUAAUAUUGUUUAUGACCUCGAUGUUGAAUUAAAUAAAAUUAUUAUAUGAAGAUAUAUAAAAAAUAAGUCUGUUCGACUUUUAAUUAUUUACAUGAUUUGAGUUCAAACCGGUGUAAG
RNAcentral lists this ribosomal RNA (533 nucleotides) under Ozirhincus longicollis. RNAcentral describes it as "partial 16S ribosomal RNA". Lineage: Eukaryota; Metazoa; Arthropoda; Insecta; Diptera; Cecidomyiidae. The record is from RNAcentral.